This 1100-nucleotide long non-coding RNA is filed under the name Chrysemys picta bellii (western painted turtle). RNAcentral's name for it is "lncRNA (ENSCPBG00000007155.1)". Lineage: Eukaryota; Metazoa; Chordata; Testudines; Emydidae. The record is from RNAcentral.
CCAGAGCCACUGCUCCUUCUAGUGGGCUAAGAAGGAAAAUUGAGCAAAUACGUUUGCUCCAUCUGUCCUGUCAUAACGAAAGUGAUAGUUAAAGGAGCAGCUAUUUCAAAGCCCUCGGGAUCAGUCUUUUCUAGAGGGUUCAGCCUUUAGCUUUCUUCUCAGACCUCUGCUCAGGGGACUAAUUUACCCACUGCUCAGUGACUUGUGCGAAAAGCUUGCAGUGUAUCGAAGCGUGCACGAACCUGGGAAGACGUCUGAUGUUAACUACUGGUGAGCUAAAGCAGGCAGCUUGAAGGAGACGAGGGAUGAGACAAACAUCCUAAAAGUUCAUGUUAUGGCUGGUGCAUGGAAAGAACAUCUGUAUACAGGGGAUGUCAACUACAGAAGCCAACCAGGCACCGCAUCGAUCCCAGAAGGACAGAUCUGCUUGGAUGUACAGCACAGGUAUCGCCAAUCCCCAUUUGGGGAAUCACACGUUCAGCAAUUCCAAUGCCAGGUGUUUUCAGAUUUCCGACUGAGUUUGCCUGGUACACUUGCUGAGCCGUCCGCCGAGUCUAUGGGGAACUUUGACACUGGUGAUACAUCCAGCCGUGGCUCCUCACCUGCACAUGAAACUCAGAUGUCUUGGGAGAUGGAGAAUGUUGCCAUGCAAGAGGGUGGAUCACCGGCUUCCAGCAGAAGUGCACACCCAGAAUGCCUAGACUGGGUCAGACCAAAGGCCCAUCUAGCCCAGUAUUCUGUCUUCCAACAGUGGCAAAUACCAGGUGCCCCAGAGGGAAUGAACAGAACAGGUAACCAUCAAGUGAUUCAUCCCUGUCACCCAUUCCCAGCCUCUGACAAACAGAGGCUAGGGACACCAUCCCUGCCCAUGCUUGCUAAUAGCCAUUGAUGGACUUGUCCUCCAUGAAUUUAUCUAGUUCUUUUUUGAACCCUGUUAUGGUCUUGGCCUUCACAACUUCCCUUGGCAAAGAGUUCCACAGAUUGACUGUGCGUUGUGUGAAGAAAUACUUCCUUUUGUUUGUUUUUUUUAAACCUUCUACUUAUUAAUUUCAUUUGGUGACCCCUAGUUCUUGUUUCAAAGUAGCAGCCGUGUUAGUCUG